AUACGUAGGUGGCAAGCGUUAUCCGGAUUUACUGGGUGUAAAGGGAGCGUAGACGGCAAAGCAAGUCUGAAGUGAAAGCCCCGGGCUCAACCCGGGAAUUGCUUUGGAAACUGUUUAGCUAGAGUGCAGGAGAGGUAAGCGGAAUUCCUAGUGUAGCGGUGAAAUGCGUAGAUAUUAGGAGGAACACCGGCGGCGAAGGCGGUUUACUGGACGGUAACUGACGUUGAGGCUCGAAAGCGUGGGGAGCAAACAGGAUUAGAUACCCUGGUAGUCCACGCCGUAAACGAUGAUUACUAGGUGUUGGUUGUCAUAGACAAUCGGUGCCGCAGCAAACGCAAUAAGUAAUCCACCUGGGGAGUACGUUCGCAAGAAUGAAACUCAAAGGAAUUGACGGGG
This 396-nucleotide ribosomal RNA is filed under the name uncultured bacterium. RNAcentral's name for it is "partial 16S ribosomal RNA". It matches the Rfam family "Bacterial small subunit ribosomal RNA", at positions 523 to 918 of the family's 1533-position model. The record is from RNAcentral.